CGGGAAUGCGGCGGCUUACACAUGCAAGUCGAGGGGUAUGGUUCUUCGGAACCAGAGACCGGCGCACGGGUGCGUAACGCGUAUGCAUUCUACCUUUCACAGAGGGAUAGCCCAGAGAAAUUUGGAUUAAUACCUCAUAGUAUUAUUGAGUGGCAUCUCUUAGUACUUAAAGAUUUAUCGGUGAAAGAUGAGCAUGCGUCCCAUUAGUUAGUUGGUAAGGUAACGGCUUACCAAGACUACGAUGGGUAGGGGUCCUGAGAGGGAGAUCCCCCACACUGGUACUGAGACACGGACCAGACUCCUACGGGAGGCAGCAGUGAGGAAUAUUGGACAAUGGGCGCAAGCCUGAUCCAGCCAUGCCGCGUGCAGGAUGACGGUCCUAUGGAUUGUAAACUGCUUUUAUACGAGAAGAAACACUGGUUCGUGAACCAGCUUGACGGUAUCGUAAGAAUAAGGAUCGGCUAACUCCGUGCCAGCAGCCGCGGUAAUACGGAGGAUCCAAGCGUUAUCCGGAAUCAUUGGGUUUAAAGGGUCCGUAGGCGGUCAGAUAAGUCAGUGGUGAAAGCCCAUCGCUCAACGGUGGAACGGCCAUUGAUACUGUCUGACUUGAAUUAUUAGGAAGUAACUAGAAUAUGUAGUGUAGCGGUGAAAUGCUUAGAGAUUACAUGGGAAUACCAAUUGCGAAGGCAGGUUACUACUAAUAUAUUGACGCUGAUGGACGAAAGCGUGGGUAGCGAACAAGAUUAGAUACCCUGGUGGUCCACGCCGGACACGAUGGAUACUAGCUGUUGGAAGCAAUUUCAGUGGCUGAGCGAAAGUGAUAAGUAUCCCACCUGGGGGAGUACGAGACGCAAGUUUGAAACUCAGAGGAAUUGACGGGGGGCGCCGGCACAAGCGGUGGGAGCAGGGUGGUUUUAUUUCUAUGAUACUCGAAGGAAGCGUGACCCACGCCUUAGAUGUAGAUUGACCGGUUUGGGGAACAGGACUUUUCACCAUACAAUAUACAAGGUGCUGCAGGGGGUGUCGGUCAGCAUCGUGCGCUUGAGGUGUCGAGGAUUAAGUCCUAUAACAACACAAACCCCCUGCUCGCUAGUGGCAGCGAGUCGAUGGUCGGAGCUCUGACCAGACUGCAAAUCUAACCGUUAGGGAGGUAGAUGACGUCGAGUCAAUCCGGUCCCUACUCGUGGGGGUGAGCUAGUGCUGCAUGACCGUUACGUAGAUGCAGUGGCGACCUGGACUGAAGCAAGUCAAGAACGGGGGUCCGAGAUCGA
Molecule: ribosomal RNA, 1271 nt
Filed under: Flavobacterium sp.
Lineage: Bacteria; Pseudomonadati; Bacteroidota; Flavobacteriia; Flavobacteriales; Flavobacteriaceae
Description: bacterial SSU rRNA
Rfam family: Bacterial small subunit ribosomal RNA
Source: RNAcentral